This 437-nucleotide ribosomal RNA is filed under the name uncultured bacterium. RNAcentral's name for it is "partial 16S ribosomal RNA". It matches the Rfam family "Bacterial small subunit ribosomal RNA", at positions 341 to 792 of the family's 1533-position model. The record is from RNAcentral.
ACGGGAGGCAGCAGUGGGGAAUAUUGGGCAAUGGGGGAAACCCUGACCCAGCAACGCCGCGUGAGGGAAGAAGGUUUUCGGAUUGUAAACCUCUGUCCUUGGGGACGAAGGAAGUGACGGUACCAUAGGAGGAAGCCCCGGCUAACUACGUGCCAGCAGCCGCGGUAAUACGGAGGGGGCGAGCGGUGUCCGGAAUGAUUGGGCGUAAAGGGCGUGUAGGCGGCCCGUUAAGUCUGGAGUGAAAGUCCCGCUUUCAAGGUGGGAAUUGCUUUGGAUACUGAUGGGCUUGAGUGCAGGAGAGGAAAGCGGAAUUACCGGUGUAGCGGUGAAAUGCGUAGAGAUCGGUAGGAACACCAGUGGCGAAGGCGGCUUUCUGGACUGAAACUGACGCUGAGGCGCGAAAGCGUGGGGAGCAAACAGGAUUAGAUACCCUGGUA